This 84-nucleotide transfer RNA is filed under the name Malaciobacter pacificus. Its description in RNAcentral is "tRNA-Leu". It matches the Rfam family "tRNA". From Rfam's summary of the family: Transfer RNA (tRNA) molecules are approximately 80 nucleotides in length. Lineage: Bacteria; Pseudomonadati; Campylobacterota; Epsilonproteobacteria; Campylobacterales; Arcobacteraceae. The record is from RNAcentral.
GCGGAUAUGGUGGAAUGGUAGACACGCAGGCUUGAGGGGCUUGUGGGGCAACCCGUGCUGGUUCAAGUCCAGUUAUCCGCACCA